RNAcentral lists this long non-coding RNA (529 nucleotides) under Helianthus annuus (common sunflower). RNAcentral's name for it is "hypothetical non coding rna". Lineage: Eukaryota; Viridiplantae; Streptophyta; Magnoliopsida; Asterales; Asteraceae. The record is from RNAcentral.
UCUAUGCGGUAUUGUGAAAAUGCAUACAUCCAAGCCUUGUGACUGUGGCGAUAAACCCCUAAACGAAUUUAAAGGUCUAUCUUGUGUAAAUGUAUAUCGAAUUCGGUCAUUCCUUCCACUCAAACAAACCUAGGGUUCAGGAACGGGAGUUGUCAAGUCCUAUGGUACCAUUACCUACUAACGAGCGGCAUGAUCGGUGUUAAUGAAUGUACAUUGUCUUAUUUAAACAAACCAAAUGUCAUACCAAAAUGUAAGCAUGUGAUGAAUAAAUGUACUAAGUAUGCACACAAUGGGCAUACAUAGCAUAAAAUGUAAUGUAAAAUGAUGUACUAAAUAUGCACACAAUGGGCAUACAUAGCAUAAAAUGUAAUGUAAAAUGAUUAUGCACACAAUGGGCAUACAUAGCAUAAAAACAAUGAAAUCAUGUACUAUAAGUGUACUAUUGAACAUAACAAGCAUAUGAUAUGAAAGCAUGAAAGGCAUGAAAGUAACAAGUAGGCACAUGUGUUUCACCCCAAAAUGUUUGGAA